UUUUAAAAAAACGUUGACGGUCACGUGUCACGUUCUGAUUAGACAUUAACAACAAUAAUGCAUUUUUAUCGUCCAAUUAAAACAUGACACACGUAACAAGUUUCUUUA
Glycine max (soybean) is the source of this 108-nucleotide non-coding RNA. The record is from Rfam. Lineage: Eukaryota; Viridiplantae; Streptophyta; Magnoliopsida; Fabales; Fabaceae.